Molecule: ribosomal RNA, 199 nt
Filed under: uncultured bacterium
Lineage: Bacteria
Description: partial 16S ribosomal RNA
Rfam family: Bacterial small subunit ribosomal RNA
Source: RNAcentral
UAGUCUGCAACUCGACUACAUGAAGCUGGAAUCGCUAGUAAUCGCGAAUCAGCAUGUCGCGGUGAAUACGUUCCCGGGCCUUGUACACACCGCCGUCACACCAUGAGAGUCGGGAACACCCGAAGUCCGUAGUCUAACCGCAAGGAGGGCGCGGCCGAAGGUGGGUUCGAUAAUUGGGGUGAAGUCGUAACAAGGUACC